GCCCUUGUAGUUCAACGGAUAGAAUAGAAGUUUCCUAAACUUUAGAUUCGGGUUCGAUUCCCGACGAGGGUACAA
RNAcentral lists this transfer RNA (75 nucleotides) under Bacteroides sp. RNAcentral's name for it is "tRNA-Arg". It matches the Rfam family "tRNA". Rfam says of the family: Transfer RNA (tRNA) molecules are approximately 80 nucleotides in length. RNAcentral also lists the same sequence under 1 other name. The record is from RNAcentral. Lineage: Bacteria; Pseudomonadati; Bacteroidota; Bacteroidia; Bacteroidales; Bacteroidaceae.